This is a long non-coding RNA of Rhincodon typus (whale shark), 412 nucleotides long. RefSeq lists it as uncharacterized. The transcript is spliced from 3 exons. The record is from RefSeq and is a predicted model, not a curated record. Lineage: Eukaryota; Metazoa; Chordata; Chondrichthyes; Orectolobiformes; Rhincodontidae.
UUCUUUUCUUGGAUGGAGCUGGUUCAGUGAAUGCCUGUGCUAAUCACUCCUGGCUGAUUGUGUGUUCAGUUUCACGAGGGGCUCUCGCUGUGUCCCAUCAGUGCUAUUUAAGGGGCCAACCAUCCAGUUUCAUGGAUGAACUUGAUAAAUGUCAGUGGAGCGAAAUGAGCAGAUGGGCUACCUAUUUUACACCAUGAUUGACCUUUCUGUCCAGUGAAGACGGUAACCCUCAGAAUAGUGAAAAUGAUGGAGUAAUUGACAGCUGAACAUCCCCUUACCGUCCCAGCCCCCAUCAUACUUUCAGGCAUAGGAUGACAAAGGGAAGUCCACAAGUCACAUGAUUAAGCACAACUGUUCACAGCGUGACUGGCUUGCUUUCAUUUACAGUAAUUAAUUGGCAAAGUUUAGCCUG